Molecule: ribosomal RNA, 253 nt
Filed under: uncultured bacterium
Lineage: Bacteria
Description: partial 16S ribosomal RNA
Rfam family: Bacterial small subunit ribosomal RNA
Source: RNAcentral
UACAGAGGUCUCAAGCGUUGUUCGGAUUCAUUGGGCGUAAAGGGUGCGUAGGCGGCGCGGUAAGUCGGGUGUGAAAUCUCGGAGCUUAACUCCGAAACUGCAUUCGAUACUGCCGUGCUUGAGGACUGGAGAGGAGAGUGGAAUUCCCGGUGUAGCGGUGAAAUGCGCAGAUAUCGGGAGGAACACCGGUGGCGAAGGCGGUUCUCUGGGCCUGACCUGACGCUGAGGAGCGAAAGCGUGGGGAGCGAACAGG